AUUGAACGCUGGCGGCAUGCCUAACACAUGCAAGUCGAACGGGGGUAGCGAUACCCUAGUGGCGGACGGGUGAGGAAUGCGUAGGAAUCGGCCCACGAGUGGGGGACAACCUGGGGAAACUCAGGCUAAUACCGCAUGAGCUCGGGAGAGGAAAGCGGGGGAUCUUCGGACCUCGCGCUGGUGGACGAGCCUACGUCCGAUUAGCUGGUUGGUGAGGUAAAGGCUCACCAAGGCGACGAUCGGUAGCGGGUCUGAGAGGACGACCCGCCACACUGGGACUGAGACACGGCCCAGACUCCUACGGGAGGCAGCAGUGGGGAACCAUUGGACAAUGGGCGCAAGCCUGAUCCAGCAAUGCCGCGUGGGUGAAGACGGCCUGCGGGUUGUAAAGCCCUUUAGGCGGGGAGGAACGACCGGACGCUAACAUCGUCUGGAAGAGACGUUACCCGCAGAAUAAGCACCGGCUAACGUCCGUGCCAGCAGCCGCGGUAAU
RNAcentral lists this ribosomal RNA (493 nucleotides) under uncultured bacterium. RNAcentral describes it as "bacterial SSU rRNA". It matches the Rfam family "Bacterial small subunit ribosomal RNA", at positions 29 to 524 of the family's 1533-position model. The record is from RNAcentral.